Molecule: ribosomal RNA, 498 nt
Filed under: uncultured bacterium
Lineage: Bacteria
Description: partial 16S ribosomal RNA
Rfam family: Bacterial small subunit ribosomal RNA
Source: RNAcentral
AUUGAACGCUGGCGGCAUGCCUUACACAUGCAAGUCGAACGGUAACAGGUCUUCGGAUGCCGACGAGUGGCGAACGGGUGAGUAAUACAUCGGAACGUGCCUAGUAGUGGGGGAUAACUACUCGAAAGAGUGGCUAAUACCGCAUGAGAUCCACGGAUGAAAGCAGGGGAUCGCAAGAACUUGUGCUACUAGAGCGGCCGAUGGCAGAUUAGGUAGUUGGUGGGAUAAAAGCUUACCAAGCCGACGAUCUGUAGCUGGUCUGAGAGGACGAUCAGCCACACUGGGACUGAGACACGGCCCAGACUCCUACGGGAGGCAGCAGUGGGGAAUUUUGGACAAUGGGCGAAAGCCUGAUCCAGCAAUGCCGCGUGCAGGAUGAAGGCCUUCGGGUUGUAAACUGCUUUUGUACGGAACGAAAAGCCCCGGGUUAAUACCCUGGGGUCAUGACGGUACCGUAAGAAUAAGCACCGGCUAACUACGUGCCAGCCGCCGCAGUAA